CCCUGCCGGAUCCGCCCCUCCCCAAUUCUUCGCGGCCAAGAAGCGGAGGCCCUCGUCGCAGCAUGGGAGCCCCGGGGCCGCCAAGGGGUCCCUGGUCCGGUCCCCUCCCGCCGUGGCGGCGGUGGCGGGGUCGUCGUCGGCCCUGGCCGGCUCCCCCUCAGGCGCCCGGAGCGAGCUGCACGCGGAGCCCCACGGCCUCCGCCUCGAGGCGGACGACGCGGGAAGCGAGUGCGAUGGAGGUGAUCUUGCGCACCUCCAUCGUCCACCAGCUGCUCGAGAUGGAGUCCGUGGCCGGCGAGAAGACCAGCAGCGUGGCGGACAGGCCCGUCGUAAGCCAUGUAUGAGCAGGGUGUUGGCCGCUCGUCCUCUGUCCCGAGUUUAGGUUGCCCGUAUGAGAAAAGAGAGAAGAGGAUUAAUCUUCCUCUGCCAGAUCUGAGAAAAAAGAGAAAAGGAUGAAUCUUGAGGAAGAGCUUGGUGAAGAACAAGGUUCGAGGAUGUAAAUCUAUCUGAUAUGUUGUUGAUGGGGAUUAAGAUUAUUGUAUUGACAUAUCUGAAAGUAUUCUACUGACAUAUCUGAGAAUUUUAAUGAUCUACCAGCAACUAGGUGUUAAGCUUCAGGCUGGGUGCAUGUUUCUUUUUGUCGGAAACAAAACAGAUUCUUUUAUAACUGAGGUUGUAUUUAACUGCAUGCACUUACUUUAGCUUAGGGGACAGGGGUUCAUCUGUCCGGUAGCACAUCAUUGGAGAAAAAUGACAUGAUCAAAAGGAAAUAGAUUUCAGUGCAGGCUCGUGCACCUGUUUUCCUUUUCCCCUUCGAUGGGGUCGUUCAGUUGAGGUGAAGCAAGCAAGCACCUCCCCGUGCCUUGCAUACCAAGGAGAGAGCGAGCCAUUGCAGAGGAGAGGGGAUACGAGGGUGGGCAGAGGUCAGGCAUUGCUAACAGAUUUGCGGCGGAGUGGGAAGCCGGCGCCUCAUCACUGGCUCCUGUUUGGCAUCGGCAAAGAGAAAGCUGCCGAGGAUGUGUUGCUCUAUGCACUGCUGUCGAAGUACAUCCUUGCUAUGAUGUAUUUUUCAGUGGCUUUCUCCAUUAGAAUGUUUCUCGUCAACGACCAUAUCAACCUGUCUGGUGUUCGCACAUGUCAUUUUGGUUGAGUUUACUGCCAUUCCGCCUCUUCCUCGUGAUGGUAUAGGAGUACACACUAAUUCGAUAAAUAAGAGGCGAAGUUGCCAACGCCUGAGAUAGUGGUUCCUACCUCUGGCCUUCGCACCUUUAGUUCCGCAAGUAGUUCAGCAACUCAAAUGAUCAUUUUGUAUAGAUGUAUAACGGCAUGCCCGUGAUUGCUCUGUAAAAACCCGGCCUAGGAUAUAUGAAUACUUCCAUAUAAACAUAUGCCUCUUCUAUUUUGUAGCUUCUCAUUAGCUCGAGGCAGAGAUGGCGGAGCUCGGGCGAGCUCGAGACUAUGGAUCCAGGGCUUGAGUGCUCACGGGAUGGAGGCAGGGGAGGGCGCCCUACGGGAAGUGAUUUAUGUGCUCCUUGAUCUGGCUUUUUAUAACUGAUGACAUCUUACAUUGUUGUCUUUUACCGAUUAACUGGUUAACUCUUUUCCUAAAUGGUCUUAGAUUUCUGCUUUCUAUUUGCGCCAGUUUCUUUUUACAAGAGAUGAGAUCUUACACAAUAUAUUUUUGCCUUGGUUGAUCUAAUUAAGAUUUUCCUUCAGCGCGUGCAUAUGAUGUGAAUAUAAAGCUAUUUGGAAGAACGUAUCCAUGGGAGAAAAAAUAUUAUCAUGUAUUUUGUCUGUCAUUUUGCUUGUGUUGAUGUAAUUUAUUGAGCUUUUUCACACGUCAUGAUAUUAUGCCUUAAUUUCUACUAGGCUGCUUUUACAUUUAAAAUUCAUUGUACAAACAUUAUUUACCUAAUUUAUGGAAACAAUAAAUUUGUAGCUUAGGUCAACUAGGAGAUGAUGUAAACCAAGUCACUCACCAGUUUAAGAUGGUAUGUUCUGAACUUUCAUUGCUUUAUGAAUGGACAAACGAUGUUAGAUAUGCAUGCUACUACAGUUUAGCCAUUUUUCAGUUUUCUACAUGAGCCACAGUGCCGAAGCCUUUGGACAGGCACUUUGUGGUAGAAUGUGUCAAACAUAGGUCUGUUUGCUAGAAUAUGUGUUGUGCCGAUGCUGCAACUAGCAUACGCAAAAUCACUUUGCUAUAUAUUUUUCAUAAUGCUACAUUCCAUCAAUUAACUGACUUCUUAUUGUUUUGAAUCUACUUACAUAGGUGUUUACAGAUUUA
Molecule: long non-coding RNA, 2287 nt
Organism: Triticum dicoccoides
Lineage: Eukaryota; Viridiplantae; Streptophyta; Magnoliopsida; Poales; Poaceae
Exons: 11
Source: RefSeq, a predicted model, not a curated record